AUGAUUUGUUUUCCGUUGGGGGACGCGCCGCAUAUGGGAGGUCGCGUGCGCUGCCGACAAGGCGGACUACUAGGGGAGGAGAUUCGCGAUCGGCCCGAUGCGUGCGGGGCGGGGCUGGCCGCCGGCCGCGCGGCGCUGGCCGUGGGAUCGUGGAAAGUCGCCCGGCGAGUCGGCACGUGGAAAGUCGUCUCCUGCGGCCACCGUGCGCGGUGCCUCGCCGGCCAUUCACGGCUCUGUGCCGACGGAGGGGCGUGCGGCGUGCGUUACGCGGGUUGGGCGCUGGCGAACCCUGGUCGUUCGGCACGCGCACUCCGGCGUAUGCGGCGGCGCAUCCUCCCUGUAUGCCGCUGGGUUGCCGCAUGCGCGCGACUCCGGCUGGUCACGCCUCCGCGCGCCGUGCGUGCGUACGGUACGGGCGUGCACCGUGGUUCGGAGGGGGUGCUUGCUUGUAUGGACUAUGGAGGCGGAGUUGGCGAUGGUCGUGUUUAUGUUUUGGACGGUCGCCUGCCUCGGCUCCGGCAUCGGGACCCGAUCGAGGUCGUGUUUCUCGAUCAAAGGAUCUCAUGCUCCCGAUUCAUGAAAUUACUACUCCGUGUGUAA
Molecule: ribosomal RNA, 600 nt
Filed under: Triticum aestivum (bread wheat)
Lineage: Eukaryota; Viridiplantae; Streptophyta; Magnoliopsida; Poales; Poaceae
Description: partial small subunit ribosomal RNA
Source: RNAcentral